AUUGAACGCUGGCGGCAGGCCUAACACAUGCAAGUCGAGCGGAUGAAGGGAGCUUGCUCCUGGCUUCAGCGGCGGACGGGUGAGUAAUGCCUAGGAAUCUGCCUUGUAGUGGGGGAUAACGUCCGGAAACGGGCGCUAAUACCGCAUAGGUCCUGAGGGAGAAAGUGGGGGAUCUUCGGACCUCACGCUAUCAGAUGAGCCUAGGUCGGAUUAGCUAGUUGGUGGGGUAAAGGCCUACCAAGGCGACGAUCCGUAACUGGUCUGAGAGGAUGACCAGUCACACUGGAACUGAGACACGGUCCAGACUCCUACGGGAGGCAGCAGUGGGGAAUAGUGGACAAUGGGCGAAAGCCUGAUCCAGCCAUGCCGCGUGUGUGAAGAAGGUCUUCGGAUUGUAAAGCACUUUAAGUUGGGAGGAAGGGCAGUAAGUUAAUACCUUGCUGUUUUGACGGUACCAACAGAAUAAGCACCGGCUAACUUCGUG
Molecule: ribosomal RNA, 484 nt
Filed under: uncultured bacterium
Lineage: Bacteria
Description: partial 16S ribosomal RNA
Rfam family: Bacterial small subunit ribosomal RNA
Source: RNAcentral